This 260-nucleotide ribosomal RNA is filed under the name uncultured bacterium. RNAcentral describes it as "partial 16S ribosomal RNA". It matches the Rfam family "Bacterial small subunit ribosomal RNA", at positions 793 to 1055 of the family's 1533-position model. The record is from RNAcentral.
GUCCACGCCCUAAACGAUGGAUACUCGACAUCAGCGAUACACUGUUGGUGUCUGAGCGAAAGCAUUAAGUAUCCCACCUGGGAAGUACGAUCGCAAGAUUGAAACUCAAAGGAAUUGACGGGGUCCGCACAAGCGGUGGAGCAUGUGGUUUAAUUCGAUGAUACGCGAGGAACCUUACCUGGGCUAGAAUGCGGUUUGACCGCUGGUGAAAGCUAGUUUUGUCGCAAGACACAGAUCGUAAGGUGCUGCAUGGCUGUCGU